Molecule: ribosomal RNA, 434 nt
Filed under: uncultured bacterium
Lineage: Bacteria
Description: partial 16S ribosomal RNA
Rfam family: Bacterial small subunit ribosomal RNA
Source: RNAcentral
AGCGAACGCUGGCGGCAGGCCUAACACAUGCAAGUCGAACGAACCUUUCGGGGUUAGUGGCGGACGGGUGAGUAACACGUGGGAACGUGCCUUUAGGUUCGGAAUAACUCAGGGAAACUUGUGCUAAUACCGAAUGUGCCCUUCGGGGGAAAGAUUAAUCGCCUUUAGAGCGGCCCGCGUCUGAUUAGCUAGUUGGUUGAGGUAAUGGCUCACCAAGGCGACGAGCAGUAGCUGGUCUGUGAGGAUGAUCAGCCACAUUGGGACUGAGACACGGCCCAAACUCCUACGGGAGGCAGCAGUGGGGAAUCUUGCGCAAUGGGCGAAAGCCUGACGCAGCCAUGCCGCGUGAAUGAUGAAGGUCUUAGGAUUGUAAAAUUCUUUCACCGGGGACGAUAAUGACGGUACCCGGAGAAGAAGCCCCGGCUAACUUCGUG